RNAcentral lists this ribosomal RNA (863 nucleotides) under uncultured fungus. RNAcentral describes it as "eukaryotic LSU rRNA". The stretch from base 1 to 241 matches the Rfam family "Eukaryotic small subunit ribosomal RNA", at positions 1593 to 1831 of the family's 1831-position model. Lineage: Eukaryota; Fungi. The record is from RNAcentral.
UUGCUCUUCAACGAGGAAUGCCUAGUAGGCACAAGUCAUCAGCUUGUGCCGAUUACGUCCCUGCCCUUUGUACACACCGCCCGUCGCUACUACCGAUUGAAUGGCUCAGUGAGGCCUUCGGACUGGCCCAGGGAGGUUGGAAACGACCGCCCAGGGCCGGAAAGUUGGUCAAACUUGGUCAUUUAGAGGAAGUAAAAGUCGUAACAAGGUUUCCGUAGGUGAACCUGCGGAAGGAUCAUUACAGUGCCAGCGGGAGCGUCGCGGCCGUNCCCCCCCAACCCGGGGGGCCGUGUUCGAUCGGCGCCCUGCGACCGGCCCCACACUUGUCUACAGACCGCGUUGCCUCGGCGGGCCCGCCGCUUAGUCGGCCGCCGGGGGGGACUAAAUCUCCCCCCUGGUCAGCGCCCGCCGGAGGACCGAUCGAAAUAUCUUUUUUUAACGAGUUGCAGUCUGAGCGAUAAUCGCAAAUGAAUCAAAACUUUCAACAAUGGAUCUCUUGGUUCCGGCAUCGAUGAAGAACGCAGCGAAAUGCGAUAAGUAAUGUGAAUUGCAGAAUUCCGUGAAUCAUCGAAUCUUUGAACACACAUUGCGCCCUCUGGUAUUCCGGGGGGCAUGCCUGUCCGAGCGUCAUUGCAACCCUCAAGCACGGCUUGUGUUAUGGGCUUCCCGUCCCGCUAUCUCAGUGGACGAGCCCGAAAUGCAGUGAUCGCCGCCGCGAUACCGGCGCCCGAGCGAAUGGGAAUUUACACCAAAGCUCAGUGGGCCCGGCCGGCAGUUUCGGUCCUACAACCAUUUCUUUCUAAGGUUGACCUCGGAUCAGGUAGGGAUACCCGCUGAACUUAAGCAUAUCAAUAAGCGGAGGA